GCUUGCCUAUGCUUAUCAGGGGUUUGAUGUGUGGUGAUUGAUGCAUCGGCGGUCAAUUGAGAAGGUCUAGUGAAGACCUGCUAAAUUGACUGCCAGUCACUCUCCAGUUGACUGCUGUACUCUACCUGAAUGAGAAGCACGAGGGGAGUUGAUGGGAGAGCGUCUCCAGUUGACAUUGUGUAGCGUGGACCCCACGGGCCUGACUUUUGGGGCUGUGAUCAUAACUUCCACUCAGCUGUCACUAGUGGUCCUGUUACAGAGUGAAAAAUUAAGUCAAGCGUGACUCGACAAAAGGAAAAACGGGAGAUCAUUCAGAUCAGGAUACCGGAAGAUUGUGCAUAGUUUCGAUCACGUUCAUGCAUCUGCCGCAAAAAACCGCAGGAGAAUGGAGAUGUGUGGGUCCUGACCGUCCCAACACGAUCAACAUUCCACCCACUAUCUAUUCCACCCACUAUUCUAUCCACCCACUCCUAUGAUACCCACAACCUCUGGUUGAGUUACUGAAGUCCUCACAUCAUGAUUUAAAGACAGAAAGUACUUAUAUUUCACUUGAAUGAUGACACAAUUUCAACUGGUAUUAAUUUUUAUUUAUGGAACACAAGAUUGGAGAAAAUGUAUUUCUAAGUCUACUUUUCCAUUUCUGUGUUUUACUAUGGUGGAGUUGGUCAUGACACCUAGUUAAAGUUCCAUUAGAGAUUUUCUUUUGAUAGAGGAUGAUUCUGAAGUUUGAUAAAUGCUGGUUAAGUUGCUUGCUCAUACUGUGAUCUGAUAAACCUGUAAUUCUGAAUAAUUUGCUUCUUUAUAAACAAAAUAUUAGGUUUUAU
Molecule: long non-coding RNA, 824 nt
Organism: Dermochelys coriacea (leatherback sea turtle)
Lineage: Eukaryota; Metazoa; Chordata; Testudines; Dermochelyidae
Exons: 3
Source: RefSeq, a predicted model, not a curated record